CCUACGGGGGGCAGCAGUGAGGAAUAUUGGUCAAUGGACGAGAGCCUGAACCAGCCAAGUAGCGUGAAGGAUGACUGCCCUAUGGGUUGUAAACUUCUUUUAUAAGGGAAUAAAAUGUUCCACGUGUGGCUUUUUGUAUGUACCAUAUGAAUAAGGAUCGGCUAACUCCGUGCCAGCAGCCGCGGUAAUACGGAGGAUCCGAGCGUUAUCCGGAUUUAUUGGGUUUAAAGGGAGCGUAGGUGGGUUGUUAAGUCAGUUGUGAAAGUUUGCGGCUCAACCGUAAAAUUGCAGUUGAUACUGGCAGUCUUGAGUACAGUAGAGGUAGGCGGAAUUCGUGGUGUAGCGGUGAAAUGCUUAGAUAGCACGAAGAACUCCGAUUGCGAAGGCAGCUUACUGGACUGCCACUGACACUGAGGCUCGAAAGUGUGGGUAUCAAACAGGAUUAGAUACCCUAGUAGUC
RNAcentral lists this ribosomal RNA (460 nucleotides) under uncultured bacterium. RNAcentral describes it as "partial 16S ribosomal RNA". It matches the Rfam family "Bacterial small subunit ribosomal RNA", at positions 338 to 795 of the family's 1533-position model. The record is from RNAcentral.